Molecule: ribosomal RNA, 545 nt
Filed under: uncultured bacterium
Lineage: Bacteria
Description: bacterial SSU rRNA
Rfam family: Bacterial small subunit ribosomal RNA
Source: RNAcentral
AGAGUUUGAUCCUGGCUCAGAACGAACGCUGGCGGCGUGGAUAAGACAUGCAAGUCGAGCGGGACAUUUCGGGUAGCAAUAUUCGGAAUGUCUAGCGGCGCAAGGGUGCGUAACACGUGGGCAAUUUGCCAUGAAGCUGGGGAUAACUCCGGGAAACCGGAGCUAAUACCGAAUGUGACCAUUUUGGGGCAUCCCGAGAUGUUUAAAGCUGGGGACCGUAAGGCCUGGCACUUCAUGAUGAGCCCGCGGCCUAUCAGCUAGUUGGCGAGGUAACGGCUCACCAAGGCUAAGACGGGUAGCUGGUCUGAGAGGACGACCAGCCACACUGGAACUGAGACACGGUCCAGACACCUACGGGUGGCAGCAGUCGAGAAUUUUUCACAAUGGGCGCAAGCCUGAUGGAGCGACGCCGCGUGGGGGAUGAAGGGCUUCGGAUUGUAAACUCCUGUUGCUCGGGACGAACGACUACGACCUAACACGUCGUAGUGUGACGGUACCGGGUGAGGAAGCCCCGGCUAACUCUGUGCCAGCAGCCGCGGUAAUAC